UGAAUACGAGAUGCUAAGGCGUCGAAGUAGUGUAUGUCAUACUUCCAAGAAAAGCUUGCACUGUCAUAAGUAAAAAAUGCCUGUACCAUAACCGACACAGGUGGGUAAGUAGAGUAUACUAAGGGGCGCGAGAUAACUCUCUCUAAGGAACUCGGCAAAAUAACUCCGUAACUUCGGGAGAAGGAGUGCCUUAUUCUUAAGGUUGCAAUAACAAGAUCCAAGCAACUGUUUAUCAAAAACACAGGUCUCCGCUAAGUCGUAAGACGAUGUAUGGGGGCUGACGCCUGCCCAGUGCCAGAAGGUUAAAGAAGUUGGUUAGCAAUUGCGAAGCUGGUAACUGAAGCCCUGGUGAACGGCGGCCGUAACUAUAACGGUCCUAAGGUAGCGAAAUUCCUUGUCGGGUAAGUUCCGACCCGCACGAAAGGCGUAAUGAUUUGGAUGCUGUCUCGGAGAGGGGCUCGGUGAAAUAGACUUGUCUGUGAAGAUGCGGACUACCUGCACCAGGACAGAAAGACCCUAUGAAGCUUUACUGUAACUUGAAAUUGAAAUUGGACUUUAUUUGCGCAGUAUAGGUGGGAGGCGUUGAUUAUAAUCUUGCGGGAUUAUUGGAGCCAUCAGUGAGAUACCACUCUUGUAAUGUUAGAUUUCUAACUUUGAAUCAUUAUCUGGUCAAAGGACAAUUUCAGGCGGGCAGUUUGACUGGGGCGGUCGCCUCCUAAAUGGUAACGGAGGCGUACAAAGGUUUCCUCUGAACGGUUAGAAAUCGUAUCUAGAGUGUAAAGGCAUAAGGAAGCUUGACUGUGAGACCUACAAGUCGAGCAGGGACGAAAGUCGGUCUUAGUGAUCUGACGGUACUGAGUGGAAAGGCCGUCACUCAACGGAUAAAAGUUACUCUAAGGAUAACAGGCUGAUCUCCCCCAAGAGUUCACAUCGACGGGGAGGUUUGGCACCUCGAUGUCGGCUCAUCGCAUCCUGGGGCGGUAGUACGUCCCAAGGGUUGGGCUGUUCGCCCAUGAAAGCGGUACGCGAGCUGGGUUCAGAACGUCGUGAGACAGUUCGGUCCAUAUCCGGUGUAGGCGUUAGAAUAUUGAGAGGAGCCUUCUUUAGUACGAGAGGACCGAGAAGGAUAUACCUCUGGUGUACCAGUUAUCGUGCCAACGGUAAACGCUGGGUAGCUAUGUAUGGAGUGGAUAACCGCUGAAAGCAUCUAAGUGGGAAGCCCACCUCGAGAUAAG
This 1235-nucleotide ribosomal RNA is filed under the name metagenome. RNAcentral describes it as "bacterial LSU rRNA". It matches the Rfam family "Bacterial large subunit ribosomal RNA", at positions 1564 to 2808 of the family's 2925-position model. The record is from RNAcentral.